AUCAAGCAGGGAGACUUCUUAUUAAACCGUAUCCAGAAGUUAUCUCGUGUGAUUGAUCUGUGAAGCUUGUUGGCAUUUUUUGUGAUUUGCUAAGGAUGCCAAAAUUCAAGGUUUCCAAAGAAAAAUGGAGCAUAGGGCUUCAUAUUGGUUGUUUUUCAUUGAAUCAAUCUAAUACUAGUUGAGUAGUUCUUUAUUUGUUUCUUCAAAUAUGUUAAGAAUUUAAGCAUAUUGCUGAUUUAAGAUGCGAGUUCUCUGUUUCUUGUGCUAAAAAAACCAAUAUGAAGCCCUAUGCUCCAUUUU
This 300-nucleotide unclassified non-coding RNA is filed under the name Hevea brasiliensis (rubber tree). Lineage: Eukaryota; Viridiplantae; Streptophyta; Magnoliopsida; Malpighiales; Euphorbiaceae. The record is from RNAcentral.